This is a long non-coding RNA of Fukomys damarensis (Damara mole-rat), 495 nucleotides long. RefSeq lists it as uncharacterized. The transcript is spliced from 2 exons. The record is from RefSeq and is a predicted model, not a curated record. Lineage: Eukaryota; Metazoa; Chordata; Mammalia; Rodentia; Bathyergidae.
CAACACUUUAUAAGUGACUUUUUUUCUUCCGGUACUGGAGAUUGAACUCAGGACCUCGCAUUUCAGAGGCAGGCUGGAUCCAGAGGGGACAUGUGAAAGUGAAAACAUUAAAGUCUUUGAUGGAAGCUCUACCAAUGGGUCUCUCCUAGGGGAAGCCUGCAGUAAAAAUGACUUCAUUCCUGUCUUGGAGUCAUCAUCCAAUACACUGACAUUUCAAAUAAUCACAGACUCUGCAAGUAUCCAAAGAAGUGUCUUUAUCUUCUAUUACUACUUCUCUUCUGGCACCUGUAAGUUGUUAUCUACACAUCUUUUUUUCCUAUGCUUCUGCAAACACAGGUUAGACCUGUUUCAGCUCUGGUGUUUUCAGUCUUAGAUCUAUCCCCUCAGAGACCCUGUCUGCUUGGGAGAGUAGUAGUUCUCUACCCUGACUAUGACUAUGUACAGAGUAAUCUGGAGAACUUGUUAAAUCACAGACUUGAGCCUCACCAUGAAGAU